GUUUUACAUUGAAGCUGAAGGUCAGCUUUCUUCUGCACUCUCUGGUCUCUCUACUCUCUCCAUCUCUUUCUGAAUUAGACUCUUCAGUAUGCCAUCAUGUUCAUCAGUAAAUAUUGAAGACAUUGAGUAAGCUUUCCCAGGGCAGUUGGUGUUGCCACAAUAUAUAUGACAUCACAGAGGAUGCCAGGGCUUUCCUGGAUACAGGAGAGUGUCCAGGGAAGAGCUGCAGAUGUCAUGGGAACUGACAUUGCUUCCCUCCUAAGGAGCUUUCCUCAUAAUACAACAGAAUUCAAGCUGACCUUUGCAGGAGCCUCUGUUGGAAUACAAGGGAAGCCCUUCAGCACCCCCUUCAUUCAAAGCCAGAGAUUUCUCCCUGAUUGUUUGGACAUCCUUUAGUUUUUUUCCAUGUGUGGAAAAUGUUGAUCUCCUACUGAAAUUUAUGUACACAAGAAUGUCUGGCAGUUUGUUCUGCAAAUCAGGAACCUGAAGGACCAUCAUUCCUUGUUUGGCAAAGUUCAGGGGUCACCUUCCUAUGUGUUAUGCAUGGCGAGUUUAUCAUGCAUUCCAGGUACAACAUUUUCUUAUUCAAUGGCUAAGCUUUUCCCUCUUGUAAAUAAACUCCAUAAUGAGUUUC
Peromyscus maniculatus bairdii (prairie deer mouse) is the source of this 634-nucleotide non-coding RNA. The record is from RefSeq and is a predicted model, not a curated record. Lineage: Eukaryota; Metazoa; Chordata; Mammalia; Rodentia; Cricetidae.